Molecule: long non-coding RNA, 484 nt
Filed under: Phoenix dactylifera (date palm)
Lineage: Eukaryota; Viridiplantae; Streptophyta; Magnoliopsida; Arecales; Arecaceae
Description: long non-coding RNA (PDAC_LNC001910)
Source: RNAcentral
AAAAGGGUUCGAGUGAGGCAAUGUUGAGGCACAAAAAAUAAGGGGGAGGAAAUAUAUGGAAAAGAAAGAGGUGGUGUGAAUGAAGAUGCGGAGAGAAUGAAGGGGAGUGACCAUAGUAGGAAGAAUACUUGAGAGUUAUAGAGCAGAUGCAGCCAAAGUUGUUUUGGGCAUCAAUGCUGCAGAUGGAAUUGCUGCAAGGACUGAAGAGAUGGUAGCAACGUCAGAGGGAGUGUCUCUGCACCUAUGGAUGGAUCAUGGAUGGCUGUGUUGGGUUUACUACUCAUUAUUGUUGCAUUGGAGUCCAAGUUGCAAGGAUUUGUUUUUUCUUCAUCCAUUCUAUCUACAAGGUUUUGUGCUGCUUCUGGAAAGUUAUAAUUUUUCUCUUUGAGGGUGUGCUUCACCAACUUUGUAAGUUGGAAGCUUAUUGAUGUCUCUUGUAGAGGUAUUCUUUUGUUCUUGCAAUUUUUUUGUUGCUGUGGGCCUC